GAUCAUGGCUCAGGAUGAACGCUAGCUACAGGCUUAACACAUGCAAGUCGAGGGGCAUCAGUUUGGUUUGCUUGCAAACCAAAGCUGGCGACCGGCGCACGGGUGAGUAACACGUAUCCAACCUGCCUCAUACUCGGGGAUAGCCUUUCGAAAGAAAGAUUAAUAUCCGAUAGCAUAUAUUUCCCGCAUGGGUUUUUAUAUUAAAGAAAUUCGGUAUGAGGUGGGGAUGCGUUCCGUUAGUUUGUUGGG
RNAcentral lists this ribosomal RNA (249 nucleotides) under uncultured bacterium. RNAcentral describes it as "partial 16S ribosomal RNA". It matches the Rfam family "Bacterial small subunit ribosomal RNA", at positions 15 to 253 of the family's 1533-position model. The record is from RNAcentral.